Molecule: non-coding RNA, 473 nt
Organism: Peromyscus maniculatus bairdii (prairie deer mouse)
Lineage: Eukaryota; Metazoa; Chordata; Mammalia; Rodentia; Cricetidae
Source: RefSeq, a predicted model, not a curated record
AGAGCAUAACCCUACCUUAAAGGUUUUUUACAAAAGACCAGUAAGAUGACCGCGGGGAAGAGCGAUUGCCGCCAAACCCGACAAUCCCAGUUCCAUUUGCGGGACUCAAAAGGGUGGAAAGCCAGAACCGACUCCGGCAACCAGUUUGGUCGGAGCUGCCAACACGGAGCCCAUCCUGAAGGGGCCUUGGAGCCAUCCAGCUAUGUUCAGCCUGCAGUGACCUCACCCAAGUCACUGCACCUUUGUAGCUCAGUUGACUCAUGUGCAGAAGUGACAGUAGCCGUUCUUCAGAUGGCACCAAGACCUUGAACCUGGCCGGGACUUGGCUCAGUUGGACGGCAAUCCCACACUCCUGCUGCCGUGGAUAGUGGACGAAGAUGCGCUGGAUGACGUUGCGGGGCCGGAAGACCUCCUUGGGGAAGACAUCCAGCAGCAAGUUGUACACUGACAGGUCCCGCUCCACUCCGAACUCG